UCAGGACGAACGCUGGCGGCGCGCCUAACACAUGCAAGUCGAACGAGCGAGAGAGAGCUUGCUUUCUCAAGCGAGUGGCGAACGGGUGAGUAACGCGUGAGGAACCUGCCUCAAAGAGGGGGACAACAGUUGGAAACGACUGCUAAUACCGCAUAAGCCCACAGGUCGGCAUCGACCAGAGGGAAAAGGAGCAAUCCGCUUUGAGAUGGCCUCGCGUCCGAUUAGCUAGUUGGUGAGGUAACGGCCCACCAAGGCGACGAUCGGUAGCCGGACUGAGAGGUUGAACGGCCACAUUGGGACUGAGACACGGCCCAGACUCCUACGGGAGGCAGCAGUGGGGAAUAUUGCACAAUGGGGGAAACCCUGAUGCAGCGACGCCGCGUGGAGGAAGAAGGUCUUCGGAUUGUAAACUCCUGUUGUUGAGGAAGAUAAUGACGGUACUCAACAAGGAAGUGACGGCUAACUACGUGCCAGCAGCCGCGGUAAAACGUAGGUCACAAGCGUUGUCCGGAAUUACUGGGUGUAAAGGGAGCGCAGGCGGGAAGACAAGUUGGAAGUGAAAUCUAUGGGCUCAACCCAUAAACUGCUUUCAAAACUGUUUUUCUUGAGUAGUGCAGAGGUAGGCGGAAUUCCCGGUGUAGCGGUGGAAUGCGUAGAUAUCGGGAGGAACACCAGUGGCGAAGGCGGCCUACUGGGCACCAACUGACGCUGAGGCUCGAAAGUGUGGGUAGCAAACAGGAUUAGAUACCCUGGUAGUCCACACCGUAAACGAUGAUUACUAGGUGUUGGAGGAUUGACCCCUUCAGUGCCGCAGUUAACACAAUAAGUAAUCCACCUGGGGAGUACGACCGCAAGG
RNAcentral lists this ribosomal RNA (856 nucleotides) under uncultured bacterium. RNAcentral describes it as "bacterial SSU rRNA". It matches the Rfam family "Bacterial small subunit ribosomal RNA", at positions 24 to 893 of the family's 1533-position model. The record is from RNAcentral.